This is a non-coding RNA of Labrus bergylta (ballan wrasse), 205 nucleotides long. The record is from RefSeq and is a predicted model, not a curated record. Lineage: Eukaryota; Metazoa; Chordata; Actinopteri; Labriformes; Labridae.
AGAGCAACACGAAGGCGGAGAAGCUUCAGUUCCUCCUGAAGAGAAUGGAAAACCAGGAGCGAGCGAGGAAGAGCCGCGAGGAGCAGAGAGAGAGAGAGCUGCAGUUCAAGAGGGAGCAGAGAGAACGAGCCAAUCAGGGAGCUCGCCCGUUCUUCCUCAAGAACUCGGAUAAGAAGAAGCUGCAGCUGGCGGAGAAAUAUCAGAG